UUCCGGUUGAUCCUGCCGGAGGUUACUGCUAUCGAGGUUCGACUAAGCCAUGCGAGUCGAAUGUAGCAAUACAUGGCGAACUGCUCAGUAACACGUGGACAACCUGCCCUUAGGACGGGGAUAAACCCGGGAAACCGGGUAUAAUACCCGAUAGGUCUCGAUUGCUGGAAUGCAUCGAGAUUUAAAGCUCAGGCGCCUAAGGAUGGGUCUGCGGCCUAUCAGGUAGUAGUGGGUGUAGCGUACCUACUAGCCUACGACGGGUACGGGUUGUGAGAGCAAGAGCCCGGAGAUGGAUUCUGAGACACGAAUCCAGGCCCUACGGGGUGCAGCAGGCGCGAAAACUUUACAAUGCUGGCAACAGCGAUAAGGGAACCUCGAGUGCCAGGUUACAAAUCUGGCUGUCGAGAUGCCUAAAAAGCAUUUCAUAGCAAGGGCCGGGCAAGACCGGUGCCAGCCGCCGCGGUAACACCGGCGGCUCGAGUGGUAACCGUUAUUAUUGGGUCUAAAGGGUCUGUAGCCGGCCGGAUAAGUCUCUUGAGAAAUCUGGCAGCUUAACUGUCAGGCUUUCAGGAGAUACUGUCUGGCUCGAGGCCGGGAGAGGUGAGAGGUACUUCAGGGGUAGGGGUGAAAUCUUGUAAUCCUUGAAGGACCACCAGUGGCGAAGGCGUCUCACCAGAACGGACCUGACGGCAAGGGACGAAAGCUAGGGGCACGAACCGGAUUAGAUACCCGGGUAGUCCUAGCCGUAAACGAUACUCGCUAGGUGUCGGCCACGGUGCGACCGUUGUCGGUGCCGUAGGGAAGCCGUGAAGCGAGCCACCUGGGAAGUACGGCCGCAAGGCUGAAACUUAAAGGAAUUGGCGGGGGAGCACCACAACGGGUGGAGCUUGCGGUUUAAUUGGAGUCAACGCCGGGA
This 916-nucleotide ribosomal RNA is filed under the name uncultured Methanosaeta sp. Its description in RNAcentral is "bacterial SSU rRNA". It matches the Rfam family "Archaeal small subunit ribosomal RNA", at positions 1 to 923 of the family's 1478-position model. Lineage: Archaea; Methanobacteriati; Methanobacteriota; Methanomicrobia; Methanotrichales; Methanotrichaceae. The record is from RNAcentral.